This 216-nucleotide ribosomal RNA is filed under the name Glomeromycotina sp. RNAcentral describes it as "partial small subunit ribosomal RNA". The stretch from base 40 to 216 matches the Rfam family "Eukaryotic small subunit ribosomal RNA", at positions 686 to 864 of the family's 1831-position model. The record is from RNAcentral. Lineage: Eukaryota; Fungi; Glomeromycota.
GGGUCAUUAGGUUGGUCGUGCCACCGGUACGUACUGGUCUCACUGAUUCCUCCUUCCUGAAGAACCGUAAUGCCAUUAAUUUGGUGUUGCGGGGAAGCAGGACUGUUACUUUGAAAAAAUUAGAGUGUUUAAAGCAAGCUAACGCUUGAAUACAUUAGCAGGGAAUAAUGAAAUAGGACGAUCGAUCCUAUUUUGUUGGUUUCUAGGAUUGACGUA